This 12023-nucleotide long non-coding RNA is filed under the name Physcomitrium patens. RNAcentral's name for it is "long non-coding RNA (PPAT_LNC002309)". The record is from RNAcentral. Lineage: Eukaryota; Viridiplantae; Streptophyta; Bryopsida; Funariales; Funariaceae.
CUAGGAUUUAUUUAAGAUUUGACUAGGGUUUGUUUAGGAUUUGGAAUUGAUUGAGAUUUAUUAGGAUUAGAAUUUGGGUAAGAUUUGAUUAGGGUAUGUUUAGGAUUUAGGAUUUGUCUAGGAUUUGAUUAAGAAUGGAUCAAGAUUAAGGUUUGGUUAGAAUUUAAGAUUUAUUUAGAUUUUUGUUAGGGUUUGACUAAGUUUUUUUUAAUAUUCUUUUAUGUUUUUUUAAGAUUUUCUUGUAUUUCUUUUAUAACUUCUGUAAAAUUUAACUGAGCUUGCUUAAUAUUUGAUUAUGAUUAUUAACAUUUAAUUAUAAUUUCUCUAUAAUCCUAUUGGAUUGUUAGGAUCUUUUGUUGUAAUUUUCUUUUACCUUCUAUAGCUAGGUGUUCGGUGCAUUCUGAGGCAAGACUUCACGUAUUACGACAUAUUUGGUGAAUCCGACAUAAAAUGCUUGAAGUGGAAGGAAUUUAGUUUUUUUGGAUUAUUUGAAUUUUGGAGAAGAAAGAUAAGAAAGUUAGAAAAAGAGCUUUGGGUGAUAUGUGAAUUAGAGCUUUUGAAUUCUUAGGGAUUUGGAUACUAUCUUAAAAUACAAUGGCAAUAUUUGGAUUAUUGUGGAGUAUUAUAAGGCUUUAUAGAUAUGUUGGAGUAUUGUGAAGUAUCAUAAGGUAUUUAUUGGAGCAUUUUGAUGUACCAUUUGGAACAUUUUGAUGUACCAUUUAUAGCAUUUCAAGGAACAUUUUUGAACAUUAUAGAACAAAAUGGAAGAUGUAUUAUCAAGGUUUUUGGACAUGCCAAAUAUUAUGGAUGGAUCAAAUAUUAGUGAAUUUUUUAAAGCUUUCUAUAUAUUCAUGGAGGAACAACAAAGAAUGCAAGCAAUUGAAAAAGAUAUCAGAAGGACAUUGUAAGGAGUCAUCAAUAAAUUUGGGAGGUUUGAAGGAUGCAUCAUCACUAAGUUUUUGUAAGUUUAUACAUAUGAGAUAGAGACAUGCCAAAUCCUUGAGGCAAAGGUGAUCUCAAGCUUACAUUUGGCUAUUGAAUCUAGGUUUCAUGAAAAGAUGAAGGGAUUGCUGGAAUGAGGUAUAGAAACAUGGUCAAAAUUUCAAGAACUUUUGAAGAAAGAAUUUAUUGAUGGAUAUGAAGAUAGAAUUACCAAGCAAAAGUUUUUGAAUUUGAUAGAGUUUCAAUCAAGCAAGCAUAUGGAUCUUUAUGAAUUCUUGGAAGAAUUUGAUAGGAGGUAUUAUCAACUGUCAUCCUCAGAGAGAUGAUCAUUGGAUAUUUUAAAGGUAGAUUUGUUUUUAAAUAGUCUUGAUGAUGCCUUGGGAGAUGAACUUUUCAUGCUUCUUAUAGAUGAAUCUAUAGAGAAUGAUUGUAUCGAUAAUUGGGACAAAUUGAAGAAAGUAGUGGUUGCUUUACCAAGGCAACAAGAAGAAAAAGCUAAAGAAAUUAUAAUAUGAUCUAAAAAAUAUUCUACUUUGGCUUCUAUGCCAUCUUUAUCAAUGUAAGGGACUAAUCUUAAAAAAAGAAAAAUGAAAGAGCAAGUAGAGGAUUUUAAUGGAGAAGCCAAAUUUUUAUAGAUGAAAGAAAUUGGAUCUUAUUGCUAGGGUAGUGAAGGAGAGAACAAAGAUUCUUUUCAAACUAUUACUAUGGAAGGCCAAGGUAUCCAAAAAUUUGAAGGUAAUAUGAAGACCAAGGAUUUGGAAACUAAUGACAAUGCGGUUGGAAGCUAUGGCUAUUCUAUAUUGAAUAAGUUUGUGCAAGUUGGUGGUGGUAAUUUGGAUGAAAAAUCUCUUGGUGAUAAAAAAACAUUUCUACAUUUGAAGGAUGUGAAGAUGUUUUGCCUAAUACUUUGGAUUGUGUUGAAGAACUUAAAGUUGAACCUUUAUAGAAAAUGGAUUAUAGAUCUAUUAAAUGCUAUAAUUAUAAAAAUUGUAUGAAUUCACAACAUUAUGAUGUAAAAAGUGGUGGGAUUAUGCAUGGAUAUGAUGAAGAAAGUCAAAUUACAUAUGGCUAUGAGACCACAUAUGAAUUGGAUAAAAAAAAUUAUAAAUUUUUACAUAAUUAUCAUAAAGAGGGUUAUGAAAUUGCACAAGAUUAUGAUACUAAAUAUAGUUGUAAAACUGAUUUUUAAAGCGAGUGAUGUUCUCUGUGAAUUUAGAUCUUUGAGAAAUAAAACCAAUUUACAAAUUUUUGGAUUUCGUGACUUUUGUAGCAUUUUUACGGGUGAAAAUUUAGAAACUUAUUGAUAUACUUAUUGUGAAUGUAUAUAAGAGAUUUGUAGUCAAUUGAAUGGCUAGAUCGAUACAAAUAAAGGUUUUUAUGGGCUAAGAUCUCGAGAUUUAGGAUUUUGAGGACCAGUAAGGUUUUCUUAGAUAUCUAGUAAUCUGCCUAGUGGAUUAGAGAGAUUUUUUGUUUUAUCAGUAGAAGACUUGAUUUUCUAUAUGCAACUAAAAUUUGGAAGCAAUCAAAUGAUGGAAAAAGGAGUUAUUAGCGCUAGAAACUUGGCAUUAGAUUGGAGAAGGAGAGGCCGGCCGACAUCUGAGCGGAAUUUUGAGGUCAUCAACUAAUUGGUAAGUGCAAUUUUCUUCAAAAUUUGUGUGUUGGUUGUAAACUUAAACUCCAAGAAGUGUGCAAAUUUUGAAUUAGAAUCGACAAUUCAAUCUUUAGUCAUUUAAAUUUCAAAUCUGUGAUUAGGAUUUGGUUUGGAUUAAGAUUUGAUUAGGAUUUAGGGUUAGGGUUAGGAUUUGGUUUAGAUUAAGAUUUGAUAAGGAUUUAGGGUUAGGAUUAGGAUUUUAUUAGGAUUUGGUUUAGGAUUUAGGAUUUGAAUAGGGUUAGGAUUUGAUUAGGAUUUAAAGUUAGGGUUUGACUAGGAUUUGAUUAGGAUUUGUUUAGGAUUUGACUAGGAUUUGUUCAGGGUUUGGAAUUGAUUAGGAUUUUUUAGGGUUAUGAUUUAUCUAAGAUUUGAUUAGGAUAUGUUUACGAUUUAGGGUUUUUAUAGGAUUUGAUUAAGGUUAGAUUAAGAUUAGGAUUUGGUUAGAAUUUAAGGUUUAUUUAGAUUUUUGUUAGGGUUUGACUAAGUUUUCUUUAAUAUUCUUUUAUAUUUCUUUAGGAUUUCCUGUAUUUCUUUUAUAACUUCAAUAAAAUUUAAUUGAGCUUACUUAAUGUUUAAUUAUGAUUGUUAAAGUUUAAUUGUAAUUUCUCUAUAAUUCUAUUGGAUUGUUAAGAUCUUUUGUUGCAAUUUUCUUUUACCUUCCACAAUCAGGUGCCUGAAGCAUUCUCAAGCAAGAUGUCAUGUAUUAUGAAAACAAACAAUUCUCUUGAAGCUAGAGCAUCUUCAUCUUGGAGCAAUGAAAUCAACACUAAUUGUUGAUUCAACUUUCAUUAAGCAAGUUCAAUCAAGUAUGUCUUCUGAUCCUCUUAUUUGUGAUAUUAAAAAAAAUCCUUCAAAUUCUCAUGAUACUUCCAAGUUUGAAUUCAAGAAGAAUCUACUAUAUUUUGAGGGAUGCCUAUAUGUUCCAAAAGGUGAAGCUCGAUUACUUGUUGUUCAACCUCGUCAGGACUUUCUAGCAGCAGGACAUUUUGAGUAUAAUAAAACUUUGGAACUAAUAUCUAGGGACUUUUGGUGGCCACAAAUGUAGAAAGCAAUUAAAGAUUUUGUACAAUCUUGUAAUAUUUUUUCGAGAUCAAAAACUCCUCGUCAUCGACCUUACAGACUUCUUCAAUCAUUAUCCAUUCCAAAAUAACCAUGGUCUUCUAUUUCUAUGGAUUUCAUCACGGAUCUUCUAAUCUCAGGUUCUUAUGACUCUAUAAUUCGUGAUAGUAGAUCAUUUUACUAAGAUGGCACAUUCUGUACCAUGUACAAAAUCUAUCACAUGUGAAGAAAUAGCUAAGCUCUUUCUUGAUAAUAUCUAUUGUUGUCAUGCAUUAUCUAAGGAUAUUAUAUCAGAUAGGGGAACUCAAUUUGUAUUAAGAUUUUGGCGGACUCUUUUCAAGAUUCUAAAAGUGGAUAUAAAACUAUCUUUGAUAUUCCAUCCUCAAAUUGCUCGACAAUCAGAGUGCGUUAAUCAAGUUUUGGAGUAGUAUUUAAGAUGUACCAUUAACUACCAACAAGAUGAUUGGACAACUCUUUUGCCAUUGGCAGAGUUUGCUUACAAUAACAUGGUACAUUCUUCUAUAAAAUAAAUAUCUUUUUUGAUAAUUAUGGUUAUCAUCCACAACUUGAUACUUUUGACUUUUUAAAAGUUGAUAAUCUUGUUGCGAAAGAUUUGGCAAUAAUGAAGGCACAGUUAACAGAAGUUCAAGAACAACAAAAGGUGAACGCGAAUGUCUAUCGAAAGAAACAACUAACAUUCGACAUGGGUGAUAAGGUAUGGUUACUUUGUCGCAAUAUCAAGACCACUUGUCCUUGUGACAAGUUCGACUAUCAAAGGCUUGGACCAUUUUUUAUUUCUACACAAAUCAAUCCAAUUGCAUAUUGUUCACAUCUACUGGAGUCAAUGAAAAAUUAUCUAGUAUUCUACGUGUCUCUUCUUGAACCAUACAAGACAGUGGACAUAUUAAGAAGAAGACAAGCUCUACCUUCUCUUAUAGAAGUGGACAAUAAUGAAGAAUUUGAAGUGGAAGAAGUCUUAGAUUUAAGGCGGUGCAAAAAUAAAUUGGAAUAUCUUGUCUAUUGCCAGGGAUAUGAUAUUAGUGAAUGCACAUGGGAGCUAGUAAAAAAUCUUGUAAAUGCAGCAAAGAUAGUGGAGGCUUUUUAUCGACGACAUCCAUUAAAAUUAAGAUAAGAACCUUCUUUAUAAAAGAAACAAGAUCUAGGCAAGAUAUCAUUCUACUUUCAAUUCUUGUUUGUAGCUUCUUUGUAGUUGUGAUGCUCAGAAAAUAGAGAACCAACAACCAGCGGAUUUGACUCAAGAGCUUGUGUUUGUUGAUUUAUCAGACGAGACGUUACGAAUAUCUCAACCUUCAAGAUGAUGCAAUCGAGAUGAAGAUCUUCAAGAAUGACAUGUUCUUCCUUGAAUAAAUGGCAAAAUACAACGCGUUUGACAUCACGACCUUAGAAGGGACUCUCGAUGUUUGGUGAUUUUACUAGAGGUAGGAACAACUCCUGAUGGUGUUCCAAAUGUUUUAUUCAAAAGAAGUUAUGAAGGCCUCAACAACGAUCAAAUAACUAGGUAGUCUUCCCACGUUGGUAUCGAAUACUACCGAUGGUUGAGAGGCCCUAUCAAUCAUCUUCGAAGAGAACAAAGAUCAGAGUAUGUGGCAAAUACAAUUCGUUGCAUCAUAGAUUUCUUCAAGCUAUGAUGACCGCUCUUCGUAGAACUCGUCCCUCUAAGGGGAGGUAAUGUCACGAACAUAUUCAUGUAAGUCAGUAAUUACAUAAAUAAAUAGGUAGAAGUAAGUAAAAAUAGAUAAAAGUAAGUUAACUCUACAAUAUUUGAUAUUAAAGCUUCUUAGAAGCUUCAUAGACAUUGCUUUGACUUUAUAGGUGUCUUUAAUUGACUUUUUGGAUUAGAAAUGUGGUCAACAAGUUGGCCAUGUGUCACACAUAUUGUUAGUUUGAAGACCAAGCUAAGUAUGUGGCCUACAUGUAGAAAAACUUACCUUGUAAGUCAAGGCAUGUGUCCUACAAAGUUAACACAUAGUUAGAUAGUAUAUAUAGAGACAAGAGUGAAGCCUUCUUCACUCUUGUCAACUCCUUUCUUGCUUCCAGUCUAGUUUCAAGGGUCUCUACUUUUCUUGUCUUUUGGUAAUCGCCAUUGCCGUUUCUUUCUUAAUAUAUAUAUAUUAAGUUCUUUCUCUUUUAUCAUCUAUUUAUGAGAGAGGUCUCACAUGUAUAUUUUUAUUUAUGAUGUUCUUGUGCUUUAUAUAAUGUCACAAAUAUAUACAUUUAUCUUAAUAGUUACUUAUAUGCUUAAGAAGAACUAGAGAAAUAUAGAAUACUUUCAUAAAAUCUUCAAGAGAAGCUUCCUUAAAGCUUGAUAGACUUGCUUUUGACUUCAUAUGUAUUUCUAGGUUAGAAAGUGAUUCAAAAAGUUAACCAUGUAGUGAUAGCAUGGGGAAUAAGUUAUCCCCUUGUAGAACAAGAACAUCAUAAAUAAAAAUAUACAUGUGAGACCUCUCUCAUAAAAAGAUGAUAAAAGAGAAAGAACUUAAUAUAUGUAUAUUAAAAAAGAAACGGCAAUGGCGAUUACCAAAAGACAAGAAAAGUAGAGACCCUUGAAACUAGACUGGAAGCAAGAAAGGAGUUGACAAGAGUGAAGAAGGCUUCACUCUUGUCUCUAUAUAUACUAUCUAACUAUGUGUUAACUUUGUAGGACACAUGCCUUGACUUACAAGGCAAGUUUUUCUACAUGUAGGCCACAUACUUAGCUUGGUCUUCAAACUAACAAUAUGUGUGACACAUGGCCAACUUGUUGACCACAUUUCUAAUCCAAAAAGUCAAUUAAAGACACCUAUAAAGUCAAAGCAAUGUCUAUGAAGCUUCUAAGAAGCUUUAAUAUCAAAUACUGUAGAAUUAACUUACUUUUAUCUAUUUUUACUUACUUCUACCUAUUUAUUUAUGUAAUUACUGACUUACAUGAAUAUGUUCGUGACAUUACCUCCCCUUAGAGGGACGAGUUCUACGAGGAGCAGUCAUCAUAUCUUGAAGAAAUCUAUGAUGCAACGAAUUGUAUUUGCCACUUACUCUGAUCUUUGUUCUCUUCGAAGAUGAUUGAUAGGGCCUCUCAAUCAUCGGUAGUAUUCCAUACCAACGUGAGAAGACUACCUAGUUAUUUGAUCGUUGUUGAGGCCUUCAUAACUUCUUUUGAAUAAAACAUUUGGAACACCAUCAGGAGUUGUUCCUACCUCUAGUAAAAUCACCAAACAUCGAGAGUCCCUUCUAAGGUCGUGAUGUCAAACGCGUUGUAUUUUGCCAUUUAUUCAAGGAAGAACAUGUCAUUCUUGAAGAUCUUCAUCUCGAUUGUAUCAUCUUGAAGGUUGAGAUAUUCGUAACGUCUCGUCUGAUAAGUCAACAAGCACAAGCUCUUGAGUCAAAUCCGCUAGUUGUUGGUUCUCUAUUUUUUGAGCAUCACAACUACAAAGAAGCUACAAACAAGAAUUGAAAGUAGAAUGAUAUCUUGCCUAGAUCUUGUUUCUUUUAUAAAGAAGGUUCUUAUCUUAAUUUUAAUGGAUGUCGUCGAUAAAAAGCCUCCACAAUCUUUGUUGCAUUUACAAGAUUUUUUACUAGCUCCCAUGUGCAUUCACUAAUAUCAUAUCCCUGCCAAUGGACAAGAUAUUUCAAUUUAUUUUUACACCGCUUUAAAUCUAAGACUUCUUCCACUUCAAAUUCUUCAUUAUUGUCCACUUCUAUAAGAGAAGGUAGAGCUUGUCUUCUUCUUAAUAUGUCCACUGUCUUGUAUGGUUCAAGAAGAGACACGUAAAAUACUAGAUAGUUUUUCAUUGACUCCAGUAGAUGUGAACAAUAUGCAACUAGAUUGAUUUGUGUAGAAAUAGAAAAUGGUCCAAGCCUUUGAUAGUCGAACUUGUCACAAGGACAAGUGGUCUUGAUAUUGCGACAAAGUAACCAUACCUUAUCACCCAUGUCGAAUGUUAGUUGUUUCUUUCGAUAGACAUUCGCGUUCACCUUUUGUUGUUCUUGAACUUCUGUUAACUGUGCCUUCAUUAUUGUCAAAUCUUUCGCAACAAGAUUAUCAACUUUUAAAAAGUCAAAAGUAUCAAGUUGUGGAUGAUAACCAUAAUUAUCAAAAAAGAUAUUUAUUUUAUAGAAGAAUAUACCGUGUUAUUGUAAGCAAACUCUGCCAAUGGCAAAAGAGUUGUCCAAUCAUCUUGUUGGUAGUUAAUGGUACAUCUUAAAUACUACUCCAAAACUUGAUUAACGCACUCUGAUUGUCGAGCAGUUUGAGGAUGGAAUACCAAAGAUAGUUUUAUAUCCACUUUUAGAAUCUUGAAAAGAGUCUGCCAAAAUCUUAAUACAAAUUGAGUUUCCCUAUCUGAUAUAAUAUCCUUGGAUAAUGCAUGACAACAAUAGAUAUUAUCAAGAAAGAGCUUAGCUGUUUCUUCACUUGUGAUAGAUUUUGUACAUGGUACAGAAUGUGCCAUCUUAGUAAAAUGAUCUACUAUCACGAAUUAUAGAGUCAUAAGAACCUGAGAUUAGAAGAUCCGUGAUGAAAUCCAUAGAAAUAGAAGACCAUGGUUAUUUUGGAAUGGAUAAUGAUUGAAGAAGUCUGUAAGGUCGAUGACGAGGAGUUUUUGAUCUCGAAAAAAUAUUACAAGAUUGUACAAAAUCUUUAAUUGCUUUCCACAUUUGUGGCCACCAAAAGUCUUUAGAUAUUAGUUCCAAAGUUUUAUUAUACUCAAAAUAUCCUGCUGCUAGAAAGUCAUGACGAGGUUGAACAACAAGUAAUCGAGCUUCACCUUUUGGAACAUAUAGGCAUCCCUCAAAAUAUAGUAGAUUCUUCUUGAAUUCAAACUUGGAAGUAUCAUGAGAAUUUGAAGGAUUUUUUUUAAUAUCACAAAUAAGAGGAUCAGAAGACAUACUUGAUUGAACUUGCUUAAUGAAAGUUGAAUCAACAAUUAGUGUUGAUUUCAUUGCUCCAAGAUGAAGAUGCUCUAGCUUCAAGAGAAUUGUUUGUUUUCAUAAUACAUGACAUCUUGCUUGAGAAUGCUUCAGGCACCUGAUUGUGGAAGGUAAAAGAAAAUUGCAACAAAAGAUCUUAACAAUCCAAUAGAAUUAUAGAGAAAUUACAAUUAAACUUUAACAAUCAUAAUUAAACAUUAAGUAAGCUCAAUUAAAUUUUAUUGAAGUUAUAAAAGAAAUACAAGAAAUCCUAAAGAAAUAUAAAAGAAUAUUAAAGAAAACUUAGUCAAACCCUAACAAAAAUCUAAAUAAACCUUAAAUUCUAACCAAAUCCUAAUCUUAAUCUAACCUUAAUCAAAUCCUAUAAAAACCCUAAAUCGUAAACAUAUCCUAAUCAAAUCUUAGAUAAAUCAUAACCCUAAAAAAUCCUAAUCAAUUCCAAACCCUGAACAAAUCCUAGUCAAAUCCUAAACAAAUCCUAAUCAAAUCCUAGUCAAACCCUAACUUUAAAUCCUAAUCAAAUCCUAACCCUAUUCAAAUCCUAAAUCCUAAAUCAAAUCCUAAUAAAAUCCUAAUCCUAACCCUAAAUCCUUAUCAAAUCUUAAUCUAAACCAAAUCCUAACCCUAACCCUAAAUCCUAAUCAAAUCUUAAUCCAAACCAAAUCCUAAUCACAGAUUUGAAAUUUAAAUGACUAAAGAUUGAAUUGUCGAUUCUAAUUCAAAAUUUGCACACUUCUUGGAGUUUAAGUUCACAACCAGCACACAAAUUUUGAAGAAAAUCGCACUUACCAAUUAGUUGAUGACCUCAAAAUUCCGCUCAGAUGUCGGCCGGCCUCUCCUUCUUUAAUCUAAUGCCAAGUUUCCAGCACUAAUAACUCCUUUUUCCAUCAUUUGAUUGCUUCCAAAUUUUAGUUGCAUAUAGAAAAUCAAGUCUUCUACUGAUAAAACAAAAAAUCUCUCUAAUCCACUAGGCAGAUUACUAGAUAUCUAAGAAAACCUUACUGGUCCUCAAAAUCCUAAAUCUCGAGAUCUUAGCCCAUAAAAACCUUUAUUUGUAUCGAUCUAGCCAUUCAAUUGACUACAAAUCUCUUAUAUACAUUCACAAUAAGUAUAUCAAUAAGUUUCUAAAUUUUCACCCGUAAAAAUGCUACAAAAGUCACGAAAUCCAAAAAUUUGUAAAUUGGUUUUAUUUCUCAAAGAUCUAAAUUCACAGAGAACAUCACUCGCUUUAAAAAUCAGUUUUACAACUAUAUUUAGUAUCAUAAUCUUGUGCAAUUUCAUAACCCUCUUUAUGAUAAUUAUGUAAAAAUUUAUAAUUUUUUUUAUCCAAUUCAUAUGUGGUCUCAUAGCCAUAUGUAAUUUGACUUUCUUCAUCAUAUCCAUGCAUAAUCCCACCACUUUUUACAUCAUAAUGUUGUGAAUUCAUACAAUUUUUAUAAUUAUAGCAUUUAAUAGAUCUAUAAUCCAUUUUCUAUAAAGGUUCAACUUUAAGUUCUUCAACACAAUCCAAAGUAUUAGGCAAAACAUCUUCACAUCCUUCAAAUGUAGAAAUGUUUUUUUAUCACCAAGAGAUUUUUCAUCCAAAUUACCACCACCAACUUGCACAAACUUAUUCAAUAUAGAAUAGCCAUAGCUUCCAACCGCAUUGUCAUUAGUUUCCAAAUCCUUGGUCUUCAUAUUACCUUCAAAUUUUUGGAUACCUUGGCCUUCCAUAGUAAUAGUUUGAAAAGAAUCUUUGUUCUCUCCUUCACUACCCUAGCAAUAAGAUCCAAUUUCUUUCAUCUAUAAAAAUUUGGCUUCUCCAUUAAAAUCCUCUACUUGCUCUUUCAUUUUUCUUUUUUUAAGAUUAGUCCCUUACAUUGAUAAAGAUGGCAUAGAAGCCAAAGUAGAAUAUUUUUUAGAUCAUAUUAUAAUUUCUUUAGCUUUUUCUUCUUGUUGCCUUGGUAAAGCAACCACUACUUUCUUCAAUUUGUCCCAAUUAUCGAUACAAUCAUUCUCUAUAGAUUCAUCUAUAAGAAGCAUGAAAAGUUCAUCUCCCAAGGCAUCAUCAAGACUAUUUAAAAACAAAUCUACCUUUAAAAUAUCCAAUGAUCAUCUCUCUGAGGAUGACAGUUGAUAAUACCUCCUAUCAAAUUCUUCCAAGAAUUCAUAAAGAUCCAUAUGCUUGCUUGAUUGAAACUCUAUCAAAUUCAAAAACUUUUGCUUGGUAAUUCUAUCUUCAUAUCCAUCAAUAAAUUCUUUCUUCAAAAGUUCUUGAAAUUUUGACCAUGUUUCUAUACCUCAUUCCAGCAAUCCCUUCAUCUUUUCAUGAAACCUAGAUUCAAUAGCCAAAUGUAAGCUUGAGAUCACCUUUGCCUCAAGGAUUUGGCAUGUCUCUAUCUCAUAUGUAUAAACUUACAAAAACUUAGUGAUGAUGCAUCCUUCAAACCUCCCAAAUUUAUUGAUGACUCCUUACAAUGUCCUUCUGAUAUCUUUUUCAAUUGCUUGCAUUCUUUGUUGUUCCUCCAUGAAUAUAUAGAAAGCUUUAAAAAAUUCACUAAUAUUUGAUCCAUCCAUAAUAUUUGGCAUGUCCAAAAACCUUGAUAAUACAUCUUCCAUUUUGUUCUAUAAUGUUCAAAAAUGUUCCUUGAAAUGCUAUAAAUGGUACAUCAAAAUGUUCCAAAUGGUACAUCAAAAUGCUCCAAUAAAUACCUUAUGAUACUUCACAAUACUCCAACAUAUCUAUAAAGCCUUAUAAUACUCCACAAUAAUCCAAAUAUUGCCAUUGUAUUUUAAGAUAGUAUCCAAAUCCCUAAGAAUUCAAAAGCUCUAAUUCACAUAUCACCCAAAGCUCUUUUUCUAACUUUCUUAUCUUUCUUCUCCAAAAUUCAAAUAAUCCAAAAAAACUAAAUUCCUUCCACUUCAAGCAUUUUAUGUCGGAUUCACCAAAUAUGUCGUAAUACGUGAAGUCUUGCCUCAGAAUGCACCGAACACCUAGCUAUAGAAGGUAAAAGAAAAUUACAACAAAAGAUCCUAACAAUCCAAUAGGAUUAUAGAGAAAUUAUAAUUAAAUGUUAAUAAUCAUAAUCAAAUAUUAAGCAAGCUCAGUUAAAUUUUACAGAAGUUAUAAAAGAAAUACAAGAAAAUCUUAAAAAAACAUAAAAGAAUAUUAAAAAAAACUUAGUCAAACCCUAACAAAAAUCUAAAUAAAUCUUAAAUUCUAACCAAACCUUAAUCUUGAUUCAUUCUUAAUCAAAUCCUAGACAAAUCCUAAAUCCUAAACAUACCCUAAUCAAAUCUUACACAAAUUCUAAUCCAAUAAAUCUUAAUCAAUUCCAAAUCCUAAACAAACCCUAAUCAAAUCUUAAAUAAAUUCUAAUCAAAUCCUAGUCAAAUCCUAACUCUGUACCCUAAUCCUAACCAAAUCCUAAACCCUAAACCAAAACACCUCUCAAAAGUCCUUCCA